GGGAAAGUGGCUCAGUCGUAGAGUGCUUGCCUUGCAUGCAUGAGGUCCUGGGUUCAAUUCCUCAGUACCA
This is a non-coding RNA of Dipodomys ordii (Ord's kangaroo rat), 70 nucleotides long. Lineage: Eukaryota; Metazoa; Chordata; Mammalia; Rodentia; Heteromyidae. The record is from Rfam.